UUACCGUCAUCAUCUUCAUCAGUGAAAGAGUUUUACAACCCUAAGGCCUUCUUCACUCACGCGGCAUUGCUGGAUCAGGGUUUCGCCCAUUGUGCAAUAUUCCCCA
RNAcentral lists this ribosomal RNA (106 nucleotides) under uncultured bacterium. RNAcentral describes it as "partial 16S ribosomal RNA". The record is from RNAcentral.